UUUAUACACACCCUCCAGGCCCAACACCGUCCGGUCCACUUCUUCCUCAUAAGGAAGCCAUCUGCAACUAGGGUUCAUAGCCAGUGACCAACAUGAGUGACCGAAGGUACGGGUACUCGUACCCACACAACCAAGGGUAUUACAACGGACCGCCGGUGAUGGCGCCGCCGCAGUACGCGCCGCCGCCGAGACGGCAGACGGGGUUCCUCGAAGGAUGCCUUGCUGCUCUGUGCUGCUGCUGCCUCGUCGACGAAUGCUGCUGCGACCCAUCGAUCAUAUUCGUGAGCUGAUGGAAACACGUACGCGGCCCCAGAUGACGAACGAUCUACGUUAACGUGGUACUGUAGUACAUAUGCGAUUGUAAGUGUCGUGUGUAUGUGUGCUUCCCUUCCGCUGCUGGUUUCAGCUAUAGCAAUAGCAUAUAUGCCCCUAGAGGCCUAGACCAAAGUAGAAUUACAGAAAGAAUAGCCAGCAGUCCUGCCGUUCGGUUCAGCUCUCCAACGACAGGACCGGUGGGUGGCGUAUGGAUGUAUGUAUGUAACUACGUAUGCAUGUAUGUACGUAUAUGUAUCAUUGUUGUCUUAUGCGAGUCUAUGAAUAAGAUGAGGAAAAAGUAAGUUUUUUUUUGCGAGGCAAGAAAAAAAAAG
Long non-coding RNA from Hordeum vulgare subsp. vulgare (domesticated barley), 647 nucleotides. RefSeq lists it as uncharacterized. Lineage: Eukaryota; Viridiplantae; Streptophyta; Magnoliopsida; Poales; Poaceae. The transcript has 3 exons. The record is from RefSeq and is a predicted model, not a curated record.